RNAcentral lists this ribosomal RNA (499 nucleotides) under uncultured Glomeromycotina. Its description in RNAcentral is "SSU rRNA". It matches the Rfam family "Eukaryotic small subunit ribosomal RNA", at positions 591 to 1092 of the family's 1831-position model. The record is from RNAcentral. Lineage: Eukaryota; Fungi; Glomeromycota.
CCAAUAGCGUAUAUUAAAGUUGCUGCAGUUAAAAAGCUCGUAGUUGAAUUUCGGGACCAUCAUGUCGGUCGUGCCUCGGUACGUACUGGUAUUGUUGGUUUCUCCCUUCUGACAAACCAUGAUGUCAUUUAUUUGGUGUUGUGGGGAAUCAGGACUGUUACUUUGAAAAAAUUAGAGUGUUUAAAGCAGGCUCACGCUUGAAUACAUUAGCAUGGAAUAAUGAAAUAGGACGUUUGAUUCUAUUUUGUUGGUUUCUAGGAUCGACGUAAUGAUUAAUAGGGAUAGUUGGGGGCAUUAGUAUUCAAUUGUCAGAGGUGAAAUUCUUGGAUUUAUUGAAGACUAACUACUGCGAAAGCAUUUGCCAAGGAUGUUUUCAUUAAUCAAGAACGAAAGUUAGGGGAUCGAAGACGAUCAGAUACCGUCGUAGUCUUAACCAUAAACUAUGCCGACUAGGGAUCGGAUGAUGUUAAUUUUUUAAUGACUCAUUCGGCGCCUUACG